Molecule: long non-coding RNA, 3151 nt
Organism: Mya arenaria
Lineage: Eukaryota; Metazoa; Mollusca; Bivalvia; Myida; Myidae
Exons: 3
Source: RefSeq, a predicted model, not a curated record
CGGAAAUAAACCGGAAGUCACCUUUGUCGCAAAGCAUUAUGGGCUUCUGGAAUAAGGCGAAGGAGGACAGUCCUGCCAACAUAAUAGUUUGUUCAAUAACAGGAGACAAACAGAAACACAGAGGUGCUAUACAUUCCGAUGGAAAAUACAACAAAAGAAGAAUUUUAAGAAAGGUGAUGGUUGGGCACACACAAGAAGACAUAGAUCACAUGUGUCCAGGCAUAUGAGUAGACAUGAGUUUCACACUCUGCCAAACUUACUUCAUCAGAGGAGCAGAAAGCUUCUCAAGAUCCCGCAGUGCACACUUAGAUAUAGUCUUUGACUACAACAAGGGGAUGAAAGUACAGAGAGGUCCAAUUGAAAUCAAUUCUGUGCUGCGUCAUUUCUUCAUUCUGGAAGUCGAUGGACAUGAUUUAUCAUGGCAUCAGGUGUGCAGUUUGUCGACUAUCAGCAGUCUUGUUCACCAGUUGUGCAACUUGAGCUGGUAGCUUUAUUGCUUGAAGCCACAGCAUAAGAGGGGGAAGGUGCAGGCUCAUCAAAAAGUCUCAAAAGUUGAAACUAGGAAAAGAAGUUUGUCAAGAGUGUGAAUAUUUGCUUUGAAAACCAUCGUUAUGAUGAUUUGGUUUCCUUUGAAACUUGAUACAUACUAUGUGUAUGUUGAAUGAAUUGAGAUGCUUAAAUAAAGAACCGCUAUUCAAAUAUCAGGAAACUGCAUUUUUCAUACUAAAGGGUAAAUGAUGUCGCCAUUUCCUGUAUGUAUUUAAAUGAGAUAUGUUUCCACAAUUAAUAUUUUUAGGGAAUUUUUCUCAUCCUAAUGAAUGAGAUUAAAUUGUACAGCGUUAUAUGAGCUUAAUAUGUGUUUUCUGUUUCUUUAAAAUUGGUGAAAAAUUGUCAGAAGAUAAUUAGACCAGUAUCCAUUACUGCAAUUAUACAAUCAAAUAUACAGGGACAAACCCACUGGGCAUAUAAUAUAAUUAAACCCUGUUUAGGGGCAUGAGGCAAACAGAGUUACUUUCAAACAUUAAAGCUGCACUCUCACAUUUUGGACGUUUUGACAACUUUUCUCAUUUUAUGUCUUGGAUUGGAACCAUCCAAUUUUUGCGAAAAAUUAAAUGGCAGAUUUUUCUAUUUAAGUUAAAACAUUGAUGUUUUAUGCACUUUUCUUAAACCGUUAGUAACAUUAAUUUUUGAACGGAAAUAUGAAAUCUGUGAUCUGAUCUUUUGUCAGCAAUCUUUUAUCAUUGGUUUGCAGAUAAUUACGCAAAAAAUUGCUCAUUCAAAAACAAAAAAAGUUGUGAAAACGGUAUAUCUGUGGGAGUGCAGCUCUAAAUGUUUAAUUUCUUGAUUUUACUACUGUAUUAGAAAUUACAGGGGUUGGGGCAUAUUUUUAGUGUUUUUAUUGCUUUUUAUUUUCAUACAGUCAUACUUUAUUCCUCAGGGCAUAACUUACAAAUAGACAAAACUGGAAAAUGGUCGUUUCAAAAGGCCAAAGAUAAUGCAAGUUGAACAAUAUUGUUCAUGGCUUGUAUUUUUGGUGUAUUUUGUUGCAUAUGCUAUAGAAAAGUUGAAAGUUAAAAAUAAAUUCAUAGUUGAAAUGAUGGCUUUGAAUGGUAUUGUCAGAUGAGAAACGGCACUUUUAAGAAAUAGGUAUAAUGGUACUUUAUUUAUUUUGAUCAAUUUUAGAUAUUGUAUGAAAAUUAUUAUCUUAUUUAGUACAUGAGACCUUUUAAACAGUUAUUGACAAUAUAACAAUGUGUAUAUGAAGCUUAAAGCUGCACUCUUACAGAUUGUCAGUUAAGACACAAAAUUGUCUCAAAAUCUGCUGAUUUGGUUAUCAUUCCUUUAAUUCGGUCAUAUUAGAUAAUUCACAAUAGAACCCAUCAGAAAUGUAAAAGUGCCGAAAAUUUCAUUUACAUUAAAUUGUUCGUAAUGCUUUUAGCCAUAAAACAUCAUUUUUUUAACAUAAAUAUGAUAAACUGCUAUCUGAUCUUUUUUCAGCAGUCUUAUAUCACUUAAAAUUGGGUCUAGACAUUUAUGCAAAAAAAUUAUCCAUUUAUAGACAAACAAUAAAAGAGUACCGGUAGUCAAAACGAUCAAUCGGUGAGAUUGCAGCUUUAAAUACACCUUUUAAGACCGCUGUAAAAUUCCAAUGGUUUGCCUAAAUCUUUAAAGCUUGCAUACUGUUUAAUUAACAACCAUACUUAUUGUUUAAAAGUGUCAUGAUAUCUUUGUACAAUGUUUUUAUAUAAUUCAUUAAAGAAGUCAAAACAAAUUUGUUUAUCUUGUAAAUUGUUUUCUAUUAUUUAAAUGACCCAGACAAAAAUGGGAACGUCAGUGCUAGUUCUUUUACUAUUAACAUCCCAUGAAGUUUCUAUUGGUGUAGCAGCAAGGAGGUGUUAUAUUAAGGAUGCAUCAUUUAAACCAAAUUAUACAUUUGGCACCGUGCACCCCAGUUAAGUCGUGCAGCGUCGGGAACGGGCCAGUAUAUACACUCCGGUAUAGUAGGGGUGGUCACCGAGCCCGAGCCACACUGUCUAAGGGGCACGUGCAAUUGGCCAUUAAUUUGGGGAAUUAGCUGGCACAACUGCGAGUUACCGUUUAAGUUCAGAUCACGUUUAAUGGUUCACUUUGAUUAACAACUCAAGUCCAAUUAAGAUGUUUAAAAGUUGGUUCUUUAUUAAUUCCACAUUUGAGUUGAAUAGUUAACAAAGAUAAAUCCAAAGACUUAUUUAACAAGAAACAUUCAAUAGUCCAUGUGAUAUAUUAAGUUAUGAAAGUAAGUGAAUUAAUUAUAUAGUCACAAAAAAAAGUAGUUCAAAGAUAUUUCCUUAGUAAAAGAAGAAGUACAAAGUUCCUAGUCUAUAUGUAUAUCUAAUGUAUAUAUUUCUCCUUCUCCUUAAAUGAAAAAUGUACAUACUUAUAUACUAACUUAAAGAGUAGAAGUUACCAAUCAGAAUUAAGUGAUAAAAAGAUAAUGAUCGAAGAUUUUAGAAAGUGUCACUCAAAAAUAAUUAUUGUCAAAAAUAAAAUUUACAAUUAGAUUAAGUCUGAGAUAAUUGAGAAGUGUCAAAGUCUCAAAGAGUAAGGUUUAUGAUUAUGAUCUGAGAUAAUUAACUGAUAAUAAUUAAGAAGAGGAGGCAGGAAAAUCUUA